Molecule: transfer RNA, 76 nt
Filed under: Candidatus Saccharimonadota bacterium
Lineage: Bacteria; Candidatus Saccharimonadota
Also listed under: 1 other name
Description: tRNA-Pro
Rfam family: tRNA
About the family: Transfer RNA (tRNA) molecules are approximately 80 nucleotides in length. Their secondary structure includes four short double-helical elements and three loops (D, anti-codon, and T loops).
Source: RNAcentral
CAGGGUGUGGCGCAGUUGGUAGCGCGCAGCGUUCGGGACGCUGAGGUCGUCGGUUCAAGUCCGAUCACCCUGACCA